Non-coding RNA from Myodes glareolus (Bank vole), 684 nucleotides. NCBI's taxonomy places the organism in Eukaryota, Metazoa, Chordata, Mammalia, Rodentia, Cricetidae. The record is from RefSeq and is a predicted model, not a curated record.
UUAGCUUCAAGCUUCAGCGGAAUCUUGGCUGGCUGCAGAGCGCUAUUUUAGAAGGAUUGUUCAUCAAUAAUUUGAAAGCCUUGCUUCCGCAUCUUCUGACUCACGGUUGUUGCGGGUUUGGAGGUGUAGAAGACCCAAUACCGAAGUGGUUGGUGGAUUCUUCUUCUGUGGUUUGGGAGAGCCGUGAGACAAGGCAACCCCGGACAGGGUUGGAAUGCCUCUGAGGAGAUCCCGAGAGACCCUGUCAUGCCCUGGCAAAGAUGCAGUCUCUAAUCAGUGAUUGUGAUUUAACAUAGUUUCCAAGAAGUGCCAAGUUAUGGAGCAAGCCUUCACUGCACGGACUUUUGGGGAAAGUUGACGAUACAAAUAAUACCUCUGGGAAAUCGCUUCACCACAAAGCAGCUGAGUGGGCCAUUUGUUGGACUGUGUUGAGUUGACAGCAGCAAUGGGCUAGAAGAACCAUGAGGAUUCCCUUUGUUGCGCUGGUGUUCCGUCACACCUUUUCUUCUACCAGUUGAUCUUCACUUAACUGAUUUCUCUUGCAGUCUGGCACCUGACAUUUCCAGAGAAUGAGGAGACAGAGGUGUACAGCAGCACCUUGUCUCUCAGAAGCUGUGUUAUGUUAAUCAAGGCAAGUUCUGAGCUUUAGUCUAAGUUUAGUUUUGCUGGAAAGUGUGACAAAUU